This 66-nucleotide transfer RNA is filed under the name Aleocharinae sp. 5 EF-2015. RNAcentral's name for it is "tRNA-Pro". The record is from RNAcentral. Lineage: Eukaryota; Metazoa; Arthropoda; Insecta; Coleoptera; Staphylinidae.
CAGAAAAUAGUUUAUAAAAAUUUUAAUUUUGGAGAUUAAAGAUAGAAGACUAAUUUCUUUUUCUGA